RNAcentral lists this ribosomal RNA (780 nucleotides) under uncultured bacterium. RNAcentral describes it as "bacterial SSU rRNA". It matches the Rfam family "Bacterial small subunit ribosomal RNA", at positions 65 to 853 of the family's 1533-position model. The record is from RNAcentral.
GGGGUAUAGUAGCAAUACUAGAGACCGGCGCACGGGUGCGUAACGCGUAUGCAAUCUACCUUUUGCAGAGGGAUAGCCCAGAGAAAUUUGGAUUAAUACCUCAUAGUAUAACGACUCGGCAUCGAGAUGUUAUUAAAGUCACAACGGCAAAAGAUGAGCAUGCGUCCCAUUAGUUAGUUGGUAAGGUAACGGCUUACCAAGACUACGAUGGGUAGGGGUCCUGAGAGGGAGAUCCCCCACACUGGUACUGAGACACGGACCAGACUCCUACGGGAGGCAGCAGUGAGGAAUAUUGGACAAUGGGCGCAAGCCUGAUCCAGCCAUGCCGCGUGCAGGAUGACGGUCCUAUGGAUUGUAAACUGCUUUUGCACAGGAAGAAACAACGCUACGUGUAGCGUCUUGACGGUACUGUGAGAAUAAGGAUCGGCUAACUCCGUGCCAGCAGCCGCGGUAAUACGGAGGAUCCAAGCGUUAUCCGGAAUCAUUGGGUUUAAAGGGUCCGUAGGCGGUCUUAUAAGUCAGUGGUGAAAUCUCCCCGCUCAACGGGGAAACGGCCAUUGAUACUGUAGGACUUGAAUUAUUAGGAAGUAACUAGAAUAUGUAGUGUAGCGGUGAAAUGCUUAGAGAUUACAUGGAAUACCAAUUGCGAAGGCAGGUUACUACUAAUGGAUUGACGCUGAUGGACGAAAGCGUGGGUAGCGAACAGGAUUAGAUACCCUGGUAGUCCACGCCCUAAACGAUGUCAACUGGGUUGUUGGGGGCAACCUCAGUGGCUAAGCG